RNAcentral lists this long non-coding RNA (250 nucleotides) under Theobroma cacao (cacao). RNAcentral's name for it is "long non-coding RNA (TCAC_LNC004922)". The record is from RNAcentral. Lineage: Eukaryota; Viridiplantae; Streptophyta; Magnoliopsida; Malvales; Malvaceae.
AAGGGCAUUUUUGUCAUUUUUCUUCGAUAAUACCGAAACUCGCCAAAAACAUGGUGUAAAAUCUAAAUAUGUUCAUACAUAUUUUAAAUCAGAUAACUAAAGUAUAAAAUUACUUUUAUAAUGACACGUGGGCCCCCAACUAACCAAUAAGAUGAGAGUCUGUGAACCUAUAAUUUUGACAAUGCAAGGCUAACUGAAAUCCUUGAUGCAAUCGGCUAUCUACCGGCUAUCCCGAACCUGAAAUGUGGGG